AGGACGAACGCUGGCGGCGUGCUUAACACAUGCAAGUCGAGCGGAAAGGCCCUUCGGGGUACUCGAGCGGCGAACGGGUGAGUAACACGUGAGCAACCUGCCCUUAGCUUCGGGAUAGCUCCGGGAAACCGGAAUUAAUACCGGAUAUGACUAUGGCCGACAUCAGCCAUGGUGGAAAGUUUUUCGGCUAGGGAUGGACUCGCGGCCUAUCAGCUAGUUGGUGAGGUAACGGCUCACCAAGGCGACGACGGGUAGCCGGCCUGAGAGGGCGACCGGCCACACUGGGACUGAGACACGGCCCAGACUCCUACGGGAGGCAGCAGUGGGGAAUAUUGCGCAAUGGGCGAAAGCCUGACGCAGCGACGCCGCGUGGGGGAUGAAUGCCUUCGGGUUCGUAAACCCUUUCAGCAGGGACGAAGCGAAGUGACGGUACCUGCAGAAGAAGCGCCGGCUAACUACGUGCCAGCAGCCGC
Molecule: ribosomal RNA, 473 nt
Filed under: uncultured bacterium
Lineage: Bacteria
Description: SSU rRNA
Rfam family: Bacterial small subunit ribosomal RNA
Source: RNAcentral